GACGAACGCUGGCGGCGUGCUUAACACAUGCCGGUCGAACGGAAAGGCCCUGCUUUUGUGGGGUGCUCGAGUGGCGAACGGGUGAGUAACACGUGAGUAACCUGCCCUUGACUUUGGGAUAACUUCAGGAAACUGGGGCUAAUACCGGAUAGGAGCUCCUGCUGCAUGGUGGGGGUUGGAAAGUUUCGGCGGUUGGGGAUGGACUCGCGGCUUAUCAGCUUGUUGGUGGGGUAGUGGCUUACCAAGGCUUUGACGGGUAGCCGGCCUGAGAGGGUGACCGGCCACAUUGGGACUGAGAUACGGCCCAGACUCCUACGGGAGGCAGCAGUGGGGAAUAUUGCACAAUGGGCGGAAGCCUGAUGCAGCAACGCCGCGUGCGGGAUGACGGCCUUCGGGUUGUAAACCGCUUUCGCCUGUGACGAAGCGUGAGGGACGGUAAUGGGUAAAGGAGCACCGGCUAACUACGG
RNAcentral lists this ribosomal RNA (467 nucleotides) under uncultured bacterium. Its description in RNAcentral is "partial 16S ribosomal RNA". It matches the Rfam family "Bacterial small subunit ribosomal RNA", at positions 28 to 506 of the family's 1533-position model. The record is from RNAcentral.